Molecule: unclassified non-coding RNA, 646 nt
Filed under: uncultured Prochlorococcus sp.
Lineage: Bacteria; Bacillati; Cyanobacteriota; Cyanophyceae; Synechococcales; Prochlorococcaceae
Description: partial 16S-23S ribosomal RNA intergenic spacer; may also contain 16S ribosomal RNA and 23S ribosomal RNA
Rfam family: tRNA (bases 304-376)
Source: RNAcentral
UUGUGGAGGAGGACGCCGAAGGUGGGGCUAAUGACUGGGGUGAAGUCGUAACAAGGUAGCCGUACCGGAAGGUGCGGCUGGAUCACCUCCUAACAGGGAGACAACAAAAUGUUAAAUAUUAAUUUUGUCACCUUAGGUCGAUCGGUAUCUCACGUUCUUAAUUUAUUAAGGAUUUUAUUUCCUAAGUUUUUUCUAGGUCACACCCAUUACUUUUCCUGGGCCAUUAGCUCAGGUGGUUAGAGCGCACCCCUGAUAAGGGUGAGGUCCCUGGUUCAAGUCCAGGAUGGCCCAUAUCUCUAUGUUGGGGGUAUAGCUCAGUUGGUAGAGCGCCUGCUUUGCAAGCAGGAUGUCAGCGGUUCGAGUCCGCUUACCUCCACUGAUUUCCACCUCUUCCAUAAUUUAAAGAAGGGAAUUGUUUUGAAUUGUGAUCAAAUCUGAACGAAUCUAGCUUCCUAAUUAAUUUCAUUAAGAUGCUGGACUCAUUGAAUUAAUUUCAUUGUUUUCAGAGAACCUUGACAACUGCAUAGAUUAUUUUUUAAAGACAAUAAGCAUCUUUAAUGAUGCAGAUUUAUUAUUUGUGCAAUUGCACUAAUAACAAUUCUAUUAAGCUGAUGCUUCAAUUAUGAAGUUAUUGGUCAAGCUACAA